This is a long non-coding RNA of Triticum aestivum (bread wheat), 637 nucleotides long. RefSeq lists it as uncharacterized. The transcript has a single exon. The record is from RefSeq and is a predicted model, not a curated record. NCBI's taxonomy places the organism in Eukaryota, Viridiplantae, Streptophyta, Magnoliopsida, Poales, Poaceae.
AUCAGAACCACACGCACCUCGUCGCGACUGAACAGCGCAUACGAUCCCAGCCCGGUCUGACGUACUCACCGGAGGAGAGAUCAGACUCAGAGUGACAUGGCGACGGCCACCGUUCGCCUCUCCACCGGCCGGCUGCUGGCGCUGGCCGUGGUGCUGUGCGCGGUCAUGGCGGGCGAGUCCGCCAAGGCGAGGUACAUCUCGUUCGACGCUCUGAGGGCCGGCCAUCCCCUCGUACAUGGUGGCGGUGCCCCGGCGCCGGCCCCUGUAAGCGCCGGAGGGAACAAGGCCCCGGCCGCCCUCGAGGUUGCCGCCAUGGGUGAGACUGCUGCCGCGGCAGCGGCCCGGCUGAUGGAAGGUGGCGCCAUCGUCCUCCGUCACCAGCUCCACGCUUAGCUGCAUGCCCUGCUCCUCACUUGUCCUUGAUGCUGCUACUACUACUUCGCUGUACGUACGUACUCCUAUAAGUAAAUAAAAGUCCACCCUGGUUGUGGCGUGUCAAUGUGUGUUACCAAUGCAAGUGAGAGGGAAAGGUUCACGAUCGACCGCAUUGCGGAUCCAAGCUUGUUAAUUAUGAAUGAUGUAGGUGUAAUCCUCAUGUCUACAUACGUGACCGUUAUACAACCUCUUCAGCCUUGAA